Molecule: long non-coding RNA, 1949 nt
Organism: Equus asinus (donkey)
Lineage: Eukaryota; Metazoa; Chordata; Mammalia; Perissodactyla; Equidae
Source: Ensembl
AGCAGAACAAAAAUUAAACCCCAAACUGUUGAAUAACGUUGGCAAUUUGGCCUCCAUUCCUCUCAUUGAAGGAAUGCCUGGGCCAAGCAUGGAUUGGUAGAUGUGACUGCUCCUUCUCAGUAGGUGUCCGAUCUGACAAAGGUCUCUCAAAAUAAGUGUGUCUCUGAAUUUAAGAGUAAUUUAAGGGAUUUUAAAGGCGAAUUUUCAUACAGGCAAUAGGUUUGCCUUAUAUUUUAUCUUUAGAAACUAACUCCCCAUGGAAGAUGCAUCAUGUGGAGGUCUGCGAAAUUUUUUGGCACAAAAUAAGAAGUCUCAGUGGAAACCACUGAUCUAGCCCAGAAAAACCUGAGACCUCCAGUGGUUCCCCAGACACUGGGGUGGAACCUGGGCCUCUCACUGUGAUGCUCUUUCCGCCUACAAAUUGUGUGCAUCACACCAAAGGACACCCUGCACCUGGCCUGGGGCGUCUGUGAGCUCCUAAACUAUUUGUUAAAAAUCCCCACAUUCUUCAAUGGCCUGCACAAUAUUAAACACAUGUUGAGGAUGCUUUGCAACAAGCCCAGAUACUGGAGCUCCAUGUGGAAGAAGGAAAUUAACGUUCGGCAGGGAAUGCCUGAGAGAGAUCUUUGUGUGGAAAAUUACAUCCAACACACAAAUGGAGGUUUAAAACCCCCCACUGAGAGAAUGACAGGAUUUGCCCCAAGAAGAAACAACAAAGAUGUCCAACCCAUUGUUGAGCUCCAGCCUGAAAUUUGGAUACUUGAUCUUUACCCAAAGUCAAUAUUUUGGGAGAAGUUUGAACUAAUUCAUUCAUGCACUCUUGGGUUUCAAGCAUGAAAAAUCCCCACAGUUUUCCACUUAAGAAGAAAUAAAAAGUCCAAAAACUAUGUACUGAAAAGCAACCAAAUGUUGUAGGCUGUAAACUUCAAUCUUGGCAGGAUGAAACCAUCACCAAAGAAGGAAAUUCAAGUCAAGUGCAAAUAAAGUAGCCAAAGCUUGUAAUGUGCUCAAGGCACGUAGACCAGAGCUUGUGCAGGGCACCCAGAGGGUGAAACCCUGUGUCACACUGACUUGUCGCUGAGCAGGGCCUCUGGAAAGAGCUGCUUAUCUCUUGCCUGAUGAUUGCGGUGGUCUCUGACUCGUCUCCUUGAUUCGUGUUUGUGUGUUUUUAAAUCACAAAUCUGAUCAGUUCAUUUUCCUGUUUACAAACUUUCCUUGACACCUCAUUGACCUCAGGAUAAAUCAACACUUCUCAAGACGCCUUAAGAGGUGUCGGGCACGCUCCAGCUCUGCUUCCCACUCUGGCCACAGCUUGGGCCACACCCGAACUCCAGUCAUGCCAAACUCCGUGGUGUUCCAAGAAUGUUUGUUGCUCUCCAGCACGAAUCUUUGUACAUGCCGUUCUUUCUGCUGGAACUGCACCCCACCCCCUACUCUUAUUUGUCCACCAAGAAUCAGCUCAGAUGUCACCGCUUCCAGGAAGGACGAAGGAUACCUCCUCUGGAUUCCUGUAGCAUUUGGGAGUUUGUGAUGCUGUGUAAUAAUCAUUAGUUUAUGUGUGUAUAUCUUUCAUUAAACUGUGAACUCCCUAAGGGCAUAGGGGUUACUAGAGAUGCUCUAUAAAUCAUUGUGAAUAAAAAAUAAACCAAUAGCCCUAACCCUAUCUACAUUUUUGCAUCAUGGGAAGGAGCCAGAGAAAUGUAGGGUAGCAGCGCUUUGAGACUGAGGGCCUGUAAAGCUGAGACUCCAAGAUCUGAAGAGAAUUGUAUGUCCAUGCCAUAAUUUUGCCUAGAAUUAGUGCUUCCCUGUAAAAUAACUCCCACAUCCACAACAACUCAACACGGCAGUGUGCUUGUUUUCAGAAGUCUUGUCACAACGGACCCUGUGUCACAGAGGUUUGGAAUUUACUCAUUUAAUUAACAAAGAUAGUCUGAAUCCCAACUGUGCCA